GUGCCAGCAGCCGCGGUAAUACGUAGGGUGCGAGCGUUGUCCGGAAUUAUUGGGCGUAAAGAGCUCGUAGGCGGUCUGUCGCGUCUGCUGUGAAAACCCGAGGCUCAACCUCGGGCCUGCAGUGGGUACGGGCAGACUAGAGUGCGGUAGGGGAGAAUGGAAUUCCUGGUGUAGCGGUGGAAUGCGCAGAUAUCAGGAGGAACACCGAUGGCGAAGGCAGUUCUCUGGGCCGUAACUGACGCUGAGGAGCGAAAGCGUGGGGAGCGAACAGGAUUAGAUACCCUGGUAGUCCACGCCGUAAACGUUGGGCGCUAGAUGUGGGGAUCAUUCCACGGUUUCCGUGUCGCAGCUAACGCAUUAAGCGCCCCGCCUGGGGAGUACGGCCGCAAGGCUAAAACUCAAAGGAAUUGACGGGGGCCCGCACAAGCGGCGGAGCAUGCGGAUUAAUUCGAUGCAACGCGAAGAACCUUACCAAGGCUUGACAUACACGAGAACGCCCUAGAAAUAGGGAACUCUUUGGACACUCGUGAACAGGUGGUGCAUGGUUGUCGUCAGCUCGUGUCGUGAGAUGUUGGGUUAAGUCCCGCAACGAGCGCAACCCUCGUUCUAUGUUGCCAGCGCGUAAUGGCGGGAACUCAUAGGAGACUGCCGGGGUCAACUCGGAGGAAGGUGGGGAUGACGUCAAAUCAUCAUGCCCCUUAUGUCUUGGGCUUCACGCAUGCUACAAUGGCCGGUACAAAGGGCUGCAAUACCGUAAGGUGGAGCGAAUCCCAAAAAGCCGGUCUCAGUUCGGAUUGAGGUCUGCAACUCGACCUCAUGAAGUCAGAGCCGCUAGUAAUCGCAGAUCAGCAACGCUGCGGUGAAUACGUUCCCGGGCCU
RNAcentral lists this ribosomal RNA (879 nucleotides) under uncultured Leifsonia sp. RNAcentral's name for it is "bacterial SSU rRNA". It matches the Rfam family "Bacterial small subunit ribosomal RNA", at positions 505 to 1381 of the family's 1533-position model. The record is from RNAcentral. Lineage: Bacteria; Bacillati; Actinomycetota; Actinomycetes; Micrococcales; Microbacteriaceae.